CGCCGCGUGAGGGAUGACGGCCUUCGGGUUGUAAACCUCUUUCAGCAGGGAAGAAGCUUUUGUGACGGUACCUGCAGAAGAAGCACCGGCUAACUACGUGCCAGCAGCCGCGGUAAUACGUAGGGUGCGAGCGUUGUCCGGAAUUAUUGGGCGUAAAGAGCUUGUAGGCGGUUUGUCGCGUCUGCUGUGAAAAUUCAGGGCUUAACCCUGGACGUGCAGUGGGUACGGGCAGACUGGAGUAUGGUAGGGGAGACUGGAAUUCCUGGUGUAGCGGUGGAAUGCGCAGAUAUCAGGAGGAACACCGAUGGCGAAGGCAGGUCUCUGGGCCAUUACUGACGCUGAGAAGCGAAAGCAUGGGGAGCGAACAGGAUUAGAUACCCUGGUAGUCCAUGCCGUAAACGUUGGGCGCUAGGCGUGGGUCUCAUUCCACGAGAUCCGUGUCGCAGCUAACGCAUUAAGCGCCCCGCCUGGGGAGUACGGCCGCAAGGCUAAAACUCA
RNAcentral lists this ribosomal RNA (498 nucleotides) under Kytococcus sp. RNAcentral describes it as "bacterial SSU rRNA". It matches the Rfam family "Bacterial small subunit ribosomal RNA", at positions 395 to 903 of the family's 1533-position model. The record is from RNAcentral. Lineage: Bacteria; Bacillati; Actinomycetota; Actinomycetes; Micrococcales; Kytococcaceae.